Molecule: long non-coding RNA, 2853 nt
Organism: Lepidothrix coronata (blue-crowned manakin)
Lineage: Eukaryota; Metazoa; Chordata; Aves; Passeriformes; Pipridae
Exons: 3
Source: RefSeq, a predicted model, not a curated record
GGGCUGGGGGGCUGCAGGCCCUGCCCUGAAGGCAGAGCUUGACGUGCCCCACAGCCCUGACGAUCGCGUCUCAUCCACCUCGCAGCGUUACCGCCGGGGCUUGUUGUCAGCGGAGUCAUGCUAUGAUAGUCAUUAUGGUUUUAAAUGACUCAUUUUCCACUUAACUGUAUUAUUGUGGCUUACAGAGCAUCUGGAGCUUUGCAGCAGUAAAUACAUCACUGAAUGUACUAAUCUAUUGCUUUGAAGAAUCUAUUUUAGCAAAAUGCAGCCGGGGAGGGCAGGUGUGUCUGCACCUGUGCCGGCCAGCCCAGGCCAGGUACAGGCACAUGUCCUGUACCAGAAAGGGGUAGAAACACGGCUGAUGGUGACCUGUUUGUGCAAACUGAUUGAGCAUCUUUAGUGCAAUCUGAUGACACCUCAAUUUGUUGGUUUAGUGCAAAAACCCGAGAGAUUCUUGUCAAGAUGCACGAAACCCUGCGCUGGCGCUGAGGUGGCCGUGUCUGCGAGGUGUUGGCGUCUCGGGGAACGCCGUGGGUCUUCUCUGAUCAUCCUGACUGGAAGGACCCCCUCUCUAACAUAAGGAAGGGCUUUUUAUAUUAUAUUUAUUAUGGGUUUUUUAUGUUUUCUCUCCUCAGCGGGAGGCACGGUCCGGGAUGGAGCUGCAGAGGGCAGUGUGGGAGAGGGAAAGCCCGGCCAAGAUGGCGGCGGGGCCGGCGCGCUUAGGCGCUAGAGGGAGAUGGCGGGCUGCGGCUCGAGCAGCUCUCACAAAGCCAAAAAUACGACUUUUGGGGGCUGUUUGGGUUUUUAAUCCCCAAAUGGACCCUCCCUGCCCGCAGCUCUUGUGCCGGGCUGCAGAGAGGCGGCAGCCGGCACCCCUCGGGCGGCCGCGCCUCGAGCUCUGCACAGAUCUCAGCAGCUCCCGCUUCUUAUUUUAGAGCUGUGAGGGGCUGGGGGGAGAGUCUGGUCGGGAGUUAUUUUGAUAAAGGCAUCUUGAGAAACAUCUUGAGGAACGCAGCAAGUUAGAAGUAAAGGCUGAGGGGAAAAAACCAUACUGUCUGUAAGUUCAUGUGUCGCCUGAGGUGAUGGAAAAAUGAAGUGGGAAAAGGAGCAGGUGCGACAGACUGGGGUUCGCAUGUGUUCAUUUACUUGUCAUAAAAACAGGCAGCAAACGCUUUGCUUUCUCCGCCAGUUCCUCGGAACGUGGUCCCUGGUGCCCUCAGCCUUCGGGAGGACAGACUGGCAACAGCAGCAGAAAUGCCAGGGAAGGUCAAUGUGGUGACCUGCAGCUCCACAUAAACCCGGUUAAAAGAAAGAAUUAAAGGGAAAUAAAGGCCUGUUUAGAAAGGGGAAAGAAAUGCCCAACAACUCCUCUCUUUUCAGAUUUUUGCCACCCAUAUUCACCUUGUUGCCUCUUCCCCAACAGCCUGUGUAAUUUCUCACUUUGAACUUGAAAAGAAGGCAGGAUGCUGGGGAGCAAGAGAAACCCUUUAGUAGUUUCUUUUCUUUGCCAAAGUUGAGUUUCAUUAGACAAGUUAGGGUGGGAAAAGUUGUUUUCCCUGGACACUGUCCUAGCACAGCCUGGCUGGGAUGGGUGGGCAGCAGGACAGUGGGAGCAGACAGCUGGACACACAGGAUGGGCUGUGUCCUCCACUUUGGGUGUGAGAACGAGGAUCUCGAGGAUUUUGAAGGGGAAAUUGUGCUCACACCAGCAUCGUAUAGGUUUGGUGUGACAGGGGGACUCCUGAGCUCUGGUAAUGUGAGCAUGAAGCCAGACUGUGUGGAAUUAGACAUAAAAUUUGCUCUCACUCCACUUGUGUGGAGGUAAAUUAAGUGUGUGUUGUUCUGUAGCAUGUUUCUUCAGACAACUGCACGUUUUACAAUUGUAUUUCAAAGCAAAGGACUGAGGCUUCAGGUUUGAUUUCUGUUCCAGCCUGCUGGGGAGUCUUAAGAUGAAUAUUAAGAAUCUGUGCCUUUGUUUUUUCACUGUGAUAAGUGAUGCUUUUCUCCCUGCCCUUCCCUCCUGCCUUGUCUCUUGUAAAGAACUUUUAUAUUUGUUAUUAGGAAUUCUAUAAGAGCGGUUUCAUCGUGGUUUUUUUGUUUUAUUCCUUUUUUGUUCCUGCAGUUACAUUUUCUAAUACCCAUUAGCAAUGCAGUAAGUCUAUUCUGGCAGAUUAUUUAGUUUUAUCUUUGGGUUGGCUUGAAUUUGGAGAGACUACAAUCGAUGUGGGCAUUGGAUUUUAAGAAUUGUUCUGUAAUGACUGCAAUAGCUUUAUAUCACUGCUAAUUCUGAACUCCAUGAACCUGUUCCCUGUCUCCACAGCUUUGGCUGAGCAAACUUUGCUCUGAAUGGCACCAUGACUGCUUGAUGAAACAGGGAACAGUCUGUUUGCAGCAAAUCUAGCAUAGAGUGGGUGGAUCUCUGACUAACUGAUAAUCUACAUGAGUUUCUACGAAAUUCUGGAAUCUGUGGGAUCAAACUGGACCUGGUUUUUGUGCCUGUACCUUUGACAAGUUUCUCCCCAAAUGUGCAGGACUGAAUUUGCCUGUCACCAAAAAGCUAAACCUUGAAUUUGAAUGUCCUUGAAUUUGACUUCCAAAAUACCUGCUGCAUGUUGAUGUGUGAACACAGCACUUUGCUGAACCUGGGAAUCCAGCUGAAAAAUAAGAAGACAGCUCUGCAACACCACACCUGUGGUUGACUUCAGGAAGUUCAGAUGGAUUAUCUGGAAGGCAAAUACAGAGUUAGCACCUCUGAAAUAUCUGGUAACUGAAGACCUGCUGAAGGUAAUAAACUCUCUCACUGCUGAGCAUCAGAGGAAUCCCAGGAGUUCCUGAAUUUCUCACAGGUAUGAA